CGAAGGUGACCUACCUCAUAGCGGGGGAUAACUAUUGGAAACGAUAGCUAAUACCGCAUGACAAUUAAGUACUCAUGUACUAAAUUUAAAAGGAGCAACUGCUUCACUAUGAGAUGGACCUGCGUUGUAUUAGCUAGUUGGUGAGGUAACGGCUCACCAAGGCAACGAUACAUAGCCGACCUGAGAGGGUGAUCGGCCACACUGGGACUGAGACACGGCCCAGACUCCUACGGGAGGCAGCAGUAGGGAAUCUUCGGCAAUGGGGGCAACCCUGACCGAGCAACGCCGCGUGAGUGAAGAAGGUUUUCGGAUCGUAAAGCUCUGUUGUUACAGAAUAACGGUAAUGGGAGUGGAAAAUCCAUUACGUGACGGUAACUCACCCCAAUCGCACGGCUAAUACGUACCUACAUUCACGGUAAUAAGUAG
RNAcentral lists this ribosomal RNA (426 nucleotides) under Streptococcus parauberis. RNAcentral describes it as "bacterial SSU rRNA". It matches the Rfam family "Bacterial small subunit ribosomal RNA", at positions 116 to 531 of the family's 1533-position model. The record is from RNAcentral. Lineage: Bacteria; Bacillati; Bacillota; Bacilli; Lactobacillales; Streptococcaceae.